Molecule: ribosomal RNA, 305 nt
Filed under: uncultured bacterium
Lineage: Bacteria
Description: bacterial SSU rRNA
Rfam family: Bacterial small subunit ribosomal RNA
Source: RNAcentral
CUGCCCUACGGGACGCAGCAGUGAGGAAUAUUGGUCAAUGGGCGGGAGCCUGAACCAGCCAAGUCGCGUGAGGGAAGACGGUCCUAUGGAUUGUAAACCUCUUUAGGCGGGGAGCAAUGCCGGGCACGUGUGCCCGGAGGGAGAGUACCCGCAGAAUAAGCAUCGGCUAACUCCGUGCCAGCAGCCGCGGUAAUACGGAGGAUGCGAGCGUUAUCCGGAUUUAUUGGGUUCAAAGGGUGCGUAGGCGGAUUUUUAAGUCAGCGGUAAAAUGUUCGGGCUCAACCCGGGCCGGCCUUUGAAACUGG